Panthera uncia (snow leopard) is the source of this 945-nucleotide long non-coding RNA. RefSeq lists it as uncharacterized. The transcript has 5 exons. The record is from RefSeq and is a predicted model, not a curated record. Lineage: Eukaryota; Metazoa; Chordata; Mammalia; Carnivora; Felidae.
CGCCGCCUCUCCCUUCCCGUCCCGCGCGGGCCCCACGCGGAGCGGGGCGGAAGCAGCUUCCGGGCCCUUCGCGGGUGUGCGGGCGGCGCGGCCCUUCCGACCCCGGCUGGCAGUGAACCGAGCGUGGGUCGGGGCACGUCCCCGGCGGCUGCCAAGAGCCCCGCUUUGUCUCCUGGGACCGCUGGGCCCCGCGUUCCCUCCUUCUUUCCCCGCCAGCCUCGCCUAGCUUCCAGGUGCUCCAGGAAGUGGCCGGAGCGGAGACUUGCGGCCUCAAAUGCCUCAGACGGGAGCCUGCCUUCUCCUGGUGAAGAAACUGAAGCCCAGAAAGGUGCUGGCAGCAAUAGUGGAGUCUUGUGUCUUCCGCUGACAUCCAUGAAAUUGUGGCAUGCUGGCUUGUUUGUUUGCAAGUAGGCCCCCAAACUCCAUGAUUCUUUGUUGUUCAGUGACCAAGAGAAGACGUAUUUGAAAAAUAACAUGAUCUUGAGAAAGAGGAGCACAUUUCUCUGGCCUGGAAUGGAAUCUUGAAGUGACCAGCCGUUGGUCACAUGUCAAAAGGUCCUCCUCUUGAAGAUACGAUGGAGACCCCAAUUGUUGGCCAUUGAUGGAAGCCAGCACUAUUGCCUGACCUUUGUGCUUUCCACUACGUCGCUCUGUUAUCAUGAAUACAUCUCUUCUCUAGCUCUCAUUUCUUCUUUUGUAAAAUGUUCACAUUGUACCAGAUGAUUGCAAAAUCCUUUCCAGCUACGAUGAUUUUUUUUCUAAUGCAUGUGUGCCAACCCGCAUAGAUAUCGAUAAACAGUGUAUUAUAAUUUGCAAUAUUAACUGUUUUUCAGUGGGCGCACUUCUCAUCUCCUAAAAACCCCAGGUGCCAAAAUGCUUCACCGUCUCACACCCAUAUGUCUACCAUUUCUGGCUCUCUAUUAAAACUGUAUGUAAUCCCUACAA